GGAGUAACUCUAAAUUAUAAAUGAUCAACUUUUCACCAGAGACAUGAAUAUUAUUUAUCAUGAAAAUUAAGUUUUCUAACCAUGCUAUUUCAACUGCAAUAUUUCUUGGGAGUUGAUGUUCAUCUGUUUUUUUGCAGGCUGAAUGAGCAUGUUAACCUUGAGUCCAUGGUGGAAAUUUGGAGGUCAUAUCAGUAUUGGUUGCUUGUUCUGUUGUCUCACAUUUUGUUACUACUUAAAUAGAAAAUUGUAGUUUAUACCUGAGGGUUUUACCUCUGUAUUCUAUUGUUAUAAUAGUUUGUUGUCAUUCAUUGAUUUUGCAAUAAAGAAUUGGGUCCUGCUUAUAUAUAC
Vigna umbellata (rice bean) is the source of this 348-nucleotide non-coding RNA. NCBI's taxonomy places the organism in Eukaryota, Viridiplantae, Streptophyta, Magnoliopsida, Fabales, Fabaceae. The record is from RefSeq and is a predicted model, not a curated record.